RNAcentral lists this ribosomal RNA (580 nucleotides) under uncultured bacterium. RNAcentral describes it as "partial 16S ribosomal RNA". It matches the Rfam family "Bacterial small subunit ribosomal RNA", at positions 355 to 1376 of the family's 1533-position model. The record is from RNAcentral.
UGAGGAAUAUUGGUCAAUGGGCGAGAGCCUGAACCAGCCAAAUCGCGUGAAGGAAGACUGCCUUAUGGGUUGUAAACUUCUUUUAUACAGGAAUAAAAAAGGGGACGUGUCCCUUAUUGCAUGUACUGUAUGAAUAAGCAUCGGCUAACUCCGUGCCAGCAGCCGCGGUAAUACGGAGGAUGCGAGCGUUAUCCGGAUUUAUUGGGUUUAAAGGGUGCGCAGGCGGGCUUUUAAGUCAGCGGUGAAAUCUCGGGGCUUAACUCCGAAACUGCCGUUGAAACUGGGAGUCUUGAGUAUGGAUGAAGUAGGCGGAAUUCGUUGUGUAGCGGUGACAUGCUUAGAUAUAACGAGGAACUCCGAUUGCGUAGGCAGCUUACUAAGCCAUAACUGACGCUCAAGCACGAAAGCGUGGGGAUCAAAACAGGAUUAGAUACCCUGGUAGUCCACGCCGUAAACGAUGAUUACUAGUUGUAUGCGAUAUACCGUAUGUGACUAAGCGAAAGCGAUAAGUAAUCCACCUGGGGAGUACGCCGGCAACGGUGAAACUCAAAGGAAUUGACGGGGUCAUAGCUGUUUCCUG